Molecule: long non-coding RNA, 1158 nt
Filed under: Crocodylus porosus (Australian saltwater crocodile)
Lineage: Eukaryota; Metazoa; Chordata; Crocodylia; Crocodylidae
Description: lncRNA (ENSCPRG00005010690.1)
Source: RNAcentral
CGCUCUCACGUACGCCCUUUCCGUACCUGAGGGAGCCUUUUGUACGCCAUCUCCGUGGCCUCCGUGCGGCCUUCCCGCGACUCCUGGAGCCGGGGCCUUGAAGAGCAGCCGCACGGGACCUUCUAAAACGUUAUGGAUAGUAUCUUCCAAAACUCCUAGACAAGCUGGAGACCAGCUGGACAAAGCGCUGUCACGGGAGCACCUGGAACUAAAUCAGAAGCUGCCAUACGAACACAGUCAAAUCUAAUGGCCUAGAGCUGCUAGCUGGAUGACCUAUCGUGUGACUGCAGCAGGGGUCAUGACUUUGGGAGAAGCAUCCCAAAUCUGCGCUGGUAUGAAAGUAUCUUGCAGAGGCUGGAGAGGCAGGGGCUUGGAGACCAAACAGACAACUGCCUAGGGCACCUUCUGCAAGGCAAAGGAGAGCACUCAUACAUCUGGCAGCACCCUGUGCACCUGCCUCUACUACAAGUGGCUUCUGGAUGUUUGCCACCACCUUGCAGGCAGGACUCUCAGUCCUGCAUGACGGACUGAGCUACAAUAAUAGACUGAUAAAAGUCAAAAGAGACGGAGGGGAUGGAAUCACGAGAGCAGAUCACAGUGCUGGAACAGGCCCCGGAGCAGGCAGCAUGGGCCGUAUUCCAGCAAUCUCUUCAGGGCUGGACUGGAAAAGAAGCAACUCUACAGCCAAUGGUGUGGCCAGAACCUUCCAACUCCUGUGACAAGACAGCCUUGCAAGACUCUUGGUGAGAAAUUUGGAACCGUUGAGGUAAAAGGAUGAUGUUCAGGGAUGAGUUGCUGUGUGAAAUGCAUAGCAACUUUGGUCAGAACACCUGGACUGCCAGGACAGGAAGGAUGAUAAAUGCUGAAAGGGAGGAGAUGAUUAUCAAGUAGUAUCUUGAGCACAACUAAGUUGGGGAGGGAGCAAAACCAAGAGCACUUUGAAUAACUGCUCAUCCUGAUGGCCACCAGACUGCAGUGUUCAGUUCCAGCAUUUAUAGCCUCUCCUCCACACCAUCAUGUCCUGCAGCCAUUGUGUACAUUAGGGUUUGGGUGGACUGUGAAUCACUCUAUGAACUAGAAUAGGCAGAUCUUUCCCAUGUAUUCUGCCCUGUGCAUCCCAUACAGCUGGAAAUAAAGACAGCCAGCGCAUUUCUGCCA